This 371-nucleotide long non-coding RNA is filed under the name Homo sapiens (human). Its description in RNAcentral is "HSALNT0157278". The record is from RNAcentral. Lineage: Eukaryota; Metazoa; Chordata; Mammalia; Primates; Hominidae.
CGUCCCUUCAGGUGACUGUGGAGCUAUGAAGACCUGAGGCAACGGGGAGCCGGUGAAGGUCGCAUUGCAGGAGGAUGGUGAUGAAGCUUUUUAAGGAAACAUGUGCUGGCACUGUGAGUAAUGGACUGUAGCAGAGACCAACCGCGACGCCACUGAAUCAAACCAGGUGAGCAGUAACAACGGCAAAACCACUGGGGGGACGGGGAGAAGGAAAGAGUUUUUAGGUAGGAUUGACAGAAUUUGUAACCACUUGACAUGGGAAAUGAGGGAGUGUAUCUGAUCAUGGUUUGAGAAAUUUAUACUAAAGUUUUAAAAAACUGAUCUUGUCUAAGGAGAGAUGCCAUGAAAAUGUAUUUCAUGUUAUAACCUCA